This 500-nucleotide ribosomal RNA is filed under the name uncultured bacterium. RNAcentral's name for it is "partial 16S ribosomal RNA". It matches the Rfam family "Bacterial small subunit ribosomal RNA", at positions 30 to 523 of the family's 1533-position model. The record is from RNAcentral.
AUUGAACGCUGGCGGCAUGCCUUACACAUGCAAGUCGAAGGGCAGCACGGGAGCAAUCCUGGUGGCGAGUGGCGAACGGGGGAGUAAUAUAUCGGAACGUGCCCAGUCGUGGGGGAUAACGUAGCGAAAGCUAAGCUAAUACCGCAUACGAUCUAUGGAUUAAAGCGGGGGAUCGCAAGACCUCGCGCGAUUGGAGCGGCCGAUAUCAGAUUAGGUAGUUGGUGAGGUAAAGGCUCACCAAGACGACGAUCUGUAGCUGGUCUGCGAGGACGACCAGCCACACUGGGACUGAGACACGGCCCAGACUCCUACGGGAGGCAGAAGUGGGGAAUUUUGGACAAUGGGCGCAAGCCUGAUCCAGCAAUGCCGCGUGCAGGAUGAAGGCCUUCGGGUUGUAAACUGCUUUUGUACGGAACGAAACGGCGAGUUCUAAUACAGUUUGCUAAUGACGGUACCGUAAGAAUAAGCACCGGCUAACUACGUGCCAGCCGCCGCGGUAA